Molecule: ribosomal RNA, 424 nt
Filed under: uncultured bacterium
Lineage: Bacteria
Description: partial 16S ribosomal RNA
Rfam family: Bacterial small subunit ribosomal RNA
Source: RNAcentral
AAUUUUGGACAAUGGGGGAAACCCUGAUCCAGCCAUCCCGCGUGUAUGAUGAAGGCCUUCGGGUUGUAAAGUACUUUUUGCAGAGAGGAAAAGGCAUCACCUAAUAAGGGAUGCUGCUGACGGUAUCUGCAGACAAAGCCCCGGCUAACUACGUCCCAGCAGCAGCGGUAAUACGUAGUGUGCAAGCGUUAAUCGGAAUUACUGGGCGUAAAGCGUGUGUAGGCGGUUCGGAACAAAAGAUGUGAAAUCCCAGGGCUCAACCUUGGAACUGCAUUUUUAACUGCCGAGCUAGAGUAUGUCAGAGGGGGGUAGAAUUCCACGUGUAGCAGUGAAAUGCGUAGAUAUGUGGAGGAAUACCGAUGGCGAAGGCAGCCCCCUGGGAUAAUACUGACGCUCAGACACGAAAGCGUGGGGAGCAAACAGG